GAGCAGUAGCGGACGGGUGAGUAACACGUACGUAACCUGUCCGAAAGUGGGGAAUAACCCCGCGAAAGCGGGGCUAAUACCGCAUAUGGUCGCCGGUGAAAAACCGGUGGACAAAAGCCUUACGGCGCUUUCGGAGGGGCGUGCGGCCGAUUAGCUUGUUGGUGUGGUAAUGGCGCACCAAGGCGACAAUCGGUAGCUGGUCUGAGAGGACGGCCAGCCACACGGGGACUGAGACACGGCCCCGACUCCUACGGGAGGCAGCAGCAAGGAAUUUUGCGCAAUGGGCGAAAGCCUGACGCAGCAACGCCGCGUGGGGGAUGAAGGCCCUCGGGUCGUAAACCCCUUUUGUAAGGGAAGUAACUGACGGUACCUUACGAAUAAGCCACGGCUAACUACGUGCCAGCAGCCGCGGUAAUACGUAGGUGGCAAGCGUUGUCCGGAUUUACUGGGCGUAAAGGGCGCGCAGGUGGCUCAUCAAGUCUGGGGUGAAAUCUCCCGGCUCAACCGGGAGGGGUCUCUGGAUACUGAUGGGCUAGAGGGAAGCAGAGGAGAGCGGAAUUCCCGGUGUAGCGGUGAUAUGCGUAGAUAUCGGGAGGAACACCAGUGGC
This 608-nucleotide ribosomal RNA is filed under the name uncultured bacterium. RNAcentral's name for it is "bacterial SSU rRNA". It matches the Rfam family "Bacterial small subunit ribosomal RNA", at positions 90 to 716 of the family's 1533-position model. The record is from RNAcentral.